This 201-nucleotide long non-coding RNA is filed under the name Elaeis guineensis (African oil palm). Its description in RNAcentral is "long non-coding RNA (EGUI_LNC026708)". The record is from RNAcentral. Lineage: Eukaryota; Viridiplantae; Streptophyta; Magnoliopsida; Arecales; Arecaceae.
AAUUGAACUAGAAUCAAUGAUAAAAAAUCUAGAAGAAAUUUUUUAGCCCGAACUUUAAAUCAAACAAUAAAUAAUACAAUCUACAAAAAUAUCAAGAACGAAAGAAACAUAGCAGUAUUUCAGUAAAUACCUUAUGGGGCAGUUAGACCAAAGAAAUAGAGCUCCAAACACAAAAUAGCCUACAAAGAACAAUGGAACCCA